Molecule: ribosomal RNA, 303 nt
Filed under: uncultured bacterium
Lineage: Bacteria
Description: partial 16S ribosomal RNA
Rfam family: Bacterial small subunit ribosomal RNA
Source: RNAcentral
AGCAGUCGCCGCGGGAAUACGGAGGGGGCUAGCGUUGUUCGGAAUUACUGGGCGUAAAGCGCACGUAGGCGGCUUUGUAAGUCAGAGGUGAAAGCCCGGGGCUCAACCCCGGAAUUGCCUUUGAGACUGCAUCGCUUGAAUCCAGGAGAGGUGAGUGGAAUUCCGAGUGUAGAGGUGAAAUUCGUAGAUAUUCGGAAGAACACCAGUGGCGAAGGCGGCUCACUGGACUGGUAUUGACGCUGAGGUGCGAAAGCGUGGGGAGCAAACAGGAUUAGAUACCCCCGUAGUCCCUGUCUCUUAUAC